UCUCCGUUGGUGAACCAGCGGAGGGAUCAUUACGAGAGUGUCACCACUCCCAACCCAUUGUUUACCUACCCGUCCACCGUGCUUCGGCAGGCAGUCCUGUGGGACAGGGCCUCGCCCCCGCGAGGGGGUGCCUGCCGCUGGCCAACCAAACAUUCCAGCUGUUUUUAGUACCAUCUGAGUCUUCCACAAAUAAACAAAACUUUCAACAACGGAUCUCUUGGUUCUGGCAUCGAUGAAGAACGCAGC
Molecule: unclassified non-coding RNA, 246 nt
Filed under: uncultured fungus
Lineage: Eukaryota; Fungi
Description: sequence contains ITS1, 5.8S rRNA gene
Rfam family: 5.8S ribosomal RNA (bases 198-246)
Source: RNAcentral